GGGCAUGCCUGUUCGAGCGUCAUUUGUACCUUCAAGCUUUGCUUGGUGUUGGGUGUUUGUCUCACCUCUGCGCGUAGACUCGCCUCAAAACAAUUGGCAGCCGGCGUGUUGAUUUCGGAGCGCAGUACAUCUCGCGCUUUGCACUCAGAACGACGACGUCCAAAAGUACAUUUUUACACUCUUGACCUCGGAUCAGGUAGGGAUACCCGCUGAACUUAAGCAUAUCAAUAAGCGGAGGA
RNAcentral lists this ribosomal RNA (239 nucleotides) under uncultured fungus. RNAcentral describes it as "partial 18S ribosomal RNA". The stretch from base 183 to 239 matches the Rfam family "Eukaryotic large subunit ribosomal RNA", at positions 1 to 57 of the family's 3401-position model. Lineage: Eukaryota; Fungi. The record is from RNAcentral.